AUGUCUGGUCGUACAAAGAAGCAGGAGGCGAUGGGUUUCUUCAAACCCUAAAAUCCUUAAUUAAACUCUCAAAUUGGAGGUGCAAAUAUGGUCCAAAACGAAAAUCGAGCAUAGAUUACUGAUCCCCAUUGCAAGGGGGUUGUAAGUUUGACUCUUGACAAGCUAGAUGGAGGCUUGGAAUGAAGCGGGUCAAACGGAGCAAGUACGAAAAGGAAAGCGUAAUUUGGAUGCGAGUCUUAGGUACUCAAGGAUUAUGGGUGACGAUCAAGCAACUUUUGAAUGACCGAACACAUACUCUUGAAGCUUCCGCAUAAAUCAAGUCGGUUUAAACAAUGUUUAUGAUGUAAACUGUUUGCUAAACAACUUUUGAAAUGUUUAAACGACGUACUCAAUUAUGUUAUGUUGUAUUAUUUUAAAAUUGUAACGUUUAAACAAACCCGUAUUUUUACAAAGUAUAU
RNAcentral lists this long non-coding RNA (458 nucleotides) under Helianthus annuus (common sunflower). RNAcentral describes it as "hypothetical non coding rna". Lineage: Eukaryota; Viridiplantae; Streptophyta; Magnoliopsida; Asterales; Asteraceae. The record is from RNAcentral.